CUACGGGACGCAGCAGUGGGGAAUAUUGGACAAUGGGCGCAAGCCUGAUCCAGCCAUGCCGCGUGAGUGAUGAAGGCCUUAGGGUUGUAAAGCUCUUUUGGCGGGGACGAUAAUGACGGUACCCGCAGAAUAAGCCCCGGCUAACUUCGUGCCAGCAGCCGCGGUAAUACGAAGGGGGCUAGCGUUGUUCGGAAUCACUGGGCGUAAAGCGCACGUAGGCGGACUUUCAAGUCAGAGGUGAAAUCCCGGGGCUCAACCUCGGAACUGCCUUUGAUACUGUUGGUCUUGAGUCCGGAAGAGGUGGGUGGAAUUCCUAGUGUAGAGGUGAAAUUCGUAGAUAUUAGGAAGAACACCAGUGGCGAAGGCGGCCCACUGGUCCGGUACUGACGCUGAGGUGCGAAAGCGUGGGGAGCAAACAGGAUUAGAUACCCCCGUAGUC
This 439-nucleotide ribosomal RNA is filed under the name uncultured bacterium. Its description in RNAcentral is "partial 16S ribosomal RNA". It matches the Rfam family "Bacterial small subunit ribosomal RNA", at positions 339 to 795 of the family's 1533-position model. The record is from RNAcentral.